GGGGCUGUAGCUCAACUGGGAGAGCGCUUGACUGGCAGUCAAGAGGUCGUGGGUUCGAGUCCCAUCAGCUCCA
RNAcentral lists this transfer RNA (73 nucleotides) under Deltaproteobacteria bacterium. Its description in RNAcentral is "tRNA-Ala". It matches the Rfam family "tRNA". From Rfam's summary of the family: Transfer RNA (tRNA) molecules are approximately 80 nucleotides in length. Their secondary structure includes four short double-helical elements and three loops (D, anti-codon, and T loops). The record is from RNAcentral. Lineage: Bacteria; Pseudomonadati; Myxococcota; Myxococcia.